ACUCUGCUCCACUUCUCAUGAAGCUUUUCACCUGCAGGACCUCCUAUGUCAUGGGACUCGAACCCUGGGUCCUUGUGCAUGCCUUUUAGCCUAGAUCUUCACACUCAAAAGGAAGCAGAGAAUUGCAACAGUUAUUAGGAUAUAAUUGAGACCAGAGAACUCUGCCUUUGUUGCCCGAGCAUUUCUGGAGAAAGUCCUCUAGGUUUGCAGUUUGCUGAAGUGUAGGAACAGCAGACAGACCUAUUGUCUAUUGUGUAGUUGGGGAACAUUUUAUUUCACCUACACCAUCCAACAGUGUUGCUGGUUCUCAGCUGUUGAGAUUCAGAAAAAACUCUACCACCUGCUCAAGGAUCUCUCUAAUUUAAAGAUCACAGAUUGUGGAGAUUUUCAGCUUUCAU
Long non-coding RNA from Erinaceus europaeus (western European hedgehog), 398 nucleotides. RefSeq lists it as uncharacterized. The transcript has 3 exons. The record is from RefSeq and is a predicted model, not a curated record. NCBI's taxonomy places the organism in Eukaryota, Metazoa, Chordata, Mammalia, Eulipotyphla, Erinaceidae.